Anolis carolinensis (green anole) is the source of this 424-nucleotide long non-coding RNA. RefSeq lists it as uncharacterized. NCBI's taxonomy places the organism in Eukaryota, Metazoa, Chordata, Lepidosauria, Squamata, Anolidae. The transcript has 3 exons. The record is from RefSeq and is a predicted model, not a curated record.
CCCGGCAGAAGAUAAGAGACAGGCAAGGGAGGCCCUAUGGCAGGGUCCAGGCCUGGCAGGAAGCCUCUCACUCAAUUCCCGUCUUCACCGGGCCUGGCAGGAGACAGCAGUUGAAAUAAAUGGAAGAUGAAGAGAGAAAGUGGGAGAAGAAAGCGAAACUGGGACAUUUCAAAAGCAAGAGCAAGAGUGGGAUAACAGAGGAUUAAUCUUGCCCUACCAAAUUGGGACAGUUGGAAGGUAGGAAUGGAAAAGGCCAGAAAAAGACGUCCAGGCAAGGGUCUGCCAUUAAAAAGACCUCAGAGAAAUCAGCUAGAAAACACCUUGGGAUGUUGAGUGCCUCUACCAAUCAACAGAAACUGGACUAGAUCACAUGUAUCAGUGGAACCCAGCAAAAGGAAACUUAAUAAAUCUAGUAAAACCAUAA